GAUGAAGAACGCAGCGAAAUGCGAUAAGUAGUGUGAAUUGCAGAAUUCAGUGAAUCAUCGAAUCUUUGAACGCACAUUGCGCCUCCUGGUAUUCCGGGGGGCAUGCCUGUCCGAGCGUCAUUACAACCCUCAAGCUCAGCUUGGUGUUGGGCCCCGCCGCCCCGGCGGGCCCUAAAGUCAGUGGCGGUGCCGUCCGGCUCCGAGCGUAGUAAUUCUUCUCGCUCUGGAGGUCCGGUCGUGUGCUCGCCAGCAACCCCCAAUUUUUUUCAGGUUGACCUCGGAUCAGGUAGGGAUACCCGCUGAACUUAAGCAUAUCAAUAAGCGGAGGA
This 329-nucleotide unclassified non-coding RNA is filed under the name soil metagenome. RNAcentral's name for it is "partial contains 5.8S ribosomal RNA, internal transcribed spacer 2, and large subunit ribosomal RNA". The stretch from base 1 to 120 matches the Rfam family "5.8S ribosomal RNA", at positions 35 to 154 of the family's 154-position model. The record is from RNAcentral.